RNAcentral lists this long non-coding RNA (386 nucleotides) under Anas platyrhynchos platyrhynchos (common mallard). Its description in RNAcentral is "lncRNA (ENSAPLG00000028800.1)". Lineage: Eukaryota; Metazoa; Chordata; Aves; Anseriformes; Anatidae. The record is from RNAcentral.
AUGGAUGCACAAGGAGAUCACAGGAAGAUUCCUUUGGGAGCCCCCACGACCUGGACAAACACAGAUGCAUCCCUGUGCUCUUUUGAGUACAGGGACUGCUCUCUGUAUCUCUACGUGGCUUUUUUACGUAUAAAUUUCACUGGUUGUCCUUACAGCAGGACAGCAGGCUGCUCUUCCUUGACCAGCUCAGCUGUAUCAUGGUGUUUGGAAUGCCUGUGCAAUUCUGUUGAAACUGAAAUCUGGUAGCUCAAGUAUGCAUUCAAACUUGAUUCAUCUUUGGUGCAUCUGUUUUCUGGUGACUCUGACUUGGCAGCAGUAUUCUAUACAGAAGCAAAGUCUCAGGGCUUCCAGGUACAAUAAAUGAUCCUCAGUGGAGAGUUUGUGCA